AGUGAACGCUGGCGGUAGGCCUAACACAUGCAAGUCGAACGGCAGCACAUUAAGAGCUUGCUCUUACGGGUGGCGAGUGGCGGACGGGUGAGGAAUAAAUCGGAAUCUACUUUUUCGUGGGGGGUAACGUAGGGAAACUUACGCUAAUACCGCAUACGACCUACGGGUGAAAGCAGGGGAUCUUCGGACCUUGCGCGAUUGAAUGAGCCGAUGUCGGAUUAGCUAGUUGGCGGGGUAAAGGCCCACCAAGGCGACGAUCCGUAGCUGGUCUGAGAGGAUGAUCAGCGACACUGGAACUGAGACACGGUCCAGACUCCGACGGGAGGCAGCAGUGGGGAAUAUUGGACAAUGGGCGCAAGCCUGAUCCAGCCAUACCGCGUGGGUGAAGAAGGCCUUCGGGUUGUAAAGCCCUUUUGUUGGGAAAGAAAAGCAGCAGGUUAAUACCCCGCUGUUCUGACGGUACCCAAAGAAUAAGCACCGGCUAACUUCGUG
This 492-nucleotide ribosomal RNA is filed under the name uncultured bacterium. RNAcentral's name for it is "partial 16S ribosomal RNA". It matches the Rfam family "Bacterial small subunit ribosomal RNA", at positions 29 to 507 of the family's 1533-position model. The record is from RNAcentral.